This is a long non-coding RNA of Amphiprion ocellaris (clown anemonefish), 454 nucleotides long. The record is from Ensembl. Lineage: Eukaryota; Metazoa; Chordata; Actinopteri; Pomacentridae.
GUCACCGCAAAAUUGAGGAAAGGAAUAUGUUUGACAUUUUUUCGGAAGAAAACUACGAAAAACUAUUUAUAGUAUGUUUUAAACCAGUUGUUGCUGUUGAUAUAUAAUUUAUUCAGACACCGUGUCACCUGUCAGGAGUUGCAGCUAAAGUAAAAACCACAAAAGAAGCGGAAGUGGGAAGUGGAAGUGGAAAAGUAACAGGAUGCAUUCACUUGUUUAUUGUUCAAGGAUACAUCCAAAGAGGCAUCUUUUUGACUUGGAUUCAACGCAGGAUCCGAUGCAGUUUGACAGAACAACCUUUUGAAGCGCCACAAUGCAGCUUGUCAUGUUUUAUGACUGCAAAAAAUGCAGUUGUGCAGAUCUACAAAAUGACUUAAAGAUGUGAAAUCUCAUUUUGUUACUGUCAAGUGAAGUGCAGCAGGUUUAUGGGAGGUGAAGGAGUGUAGCUGAGGCA